AGGUGGAGGUCAGCGUGCUGGGAAACUGGUGGAGGGAGGAAACUGCGGGGAGCUGGUCUCGUGUUACCUCUGUUAAAUCGCUGACAGCAGUUUAAGGUCCAAUAGGCUGGUACUCACAUGGGCUGCGUGGAUGUUUUAUAUUUCCAGAACCUAGCACAGUGCCAGGCAUAAAGUGUUCCUGGCUCUAUGCCAAAUGCAUCCUGGACUGGAAACCUCAGAGCUAUAAAGUGGAGUGACAUGGAAGACAGACACGGAGGCUGCCACGGCCACUAUGUACGUGGUAUUUGUAUCUAUGGAAACGGAGACUUAAAGUGGCUGGUUAAUUCACCAAGCCUGUUUGCUAACAAGUUUGAGCUUAAUACCUACCCCCUUACUGUGGAAUGCCUAGAACUGAGGCAUCGCGAAA
This 406-nucleotide small RNA is filed under the name Pongo abelii (Sumatran orangutan). Its description in RNAcentral is "processed transcript". Lineage: Eukaryota; Metazoa; Chordata; Mammalia; Primates; Hominidae. The record is from RNAcentral.